CUUUCGCAGCAUCUCUCAGAGUUAAUACGAAAUAGUGAUCUCACCAGAUAACAUGGCUCGGAAAUGCCAGGAAUCUCACGAUGCGAUAUAGGUGCCGAUUUGUUUCCAGGCCCACGCCUCUCCCCCGUCUCAUCGCCGGCCAACCAACGUACACAGUGAGACGCCUCCUGAGGGUUUGACCGCUGGGCAGGGGAUUCCAUUACCUGGUUGACUGGGAGGGUUAUGGCCCGGAGGAGAGGUGCUGGGUCCCCACUAUGGACAUCCUGGAACCAGCCCUCAUCGCUGAGUUCCACCGACGGCACCCCGGUCAACCAUGUAUACACCCAGAGGACCUGAGUCCUAGGACCAUGCCUCAGGACUACCUGGCAUGAUGACUCCUUGCUGUCCCCAGUCCACCUGGCUGUGCUGCUGCUCCAGUUUCAACUGUUCUGCCUGCGGCUAUGGAAUCCUGACCUGUUCACCGGACGUGUUACCUGUCCCAGACCUAUUAUUUGACCAUGCUGGUCAUUUAUGAACAUUUGAACAUCUUGGCCAUGUUCUGUUAUAAUCUCCACCCAGCACAGCCAGAAGAGGACUGGCCACCCCUCAUAGCCUGGUUCCUCUCUACGUUUCUUCCUAGGUUUUGGCCUUUCUAGGGAGUUUUUCCUAGCCAACGUGCUUCAACACCUGCAUUGCUUGCUGUUUGGGGUUUUAGGCUGGGUUUCUUCACAGCACUUUGACAUAUCAGCUGAUGUACGAAGGGCUAUAUAAAUACAUUUGAUUUGAUUUGAUCAGGGGUUUGGUGCCAUUGACUGUUGUUGAUUGAUUUUCCUGCUUGUUGGCCCAAGCAAUCAAUGAUUUAGCUCUGUGACAUAGCUUUGGUCACGUUCGCUUGCAUAAAUAAGUACCUUCCAUUGCAAUACCUCCCAUUGCUGUACCCAUUGCUAUACCUACCAUGGCUGUACCCAUUGCUGUACCUGCCAUUACUGUAAUCCUUGCUGUACUUCCCAUUGCUGUACCUAAUGCUGUACUUCCCAUUGCUGUACCUGCCGUUACUGUAAUCCUUGCUGUACUUCCCAUUGAUGUACUUCCCAUUGCUGUACCCAUUACAAUACUAACCAUCACUGUACCCAUUACAAUACAUCUCAUUGCUGUACCCAUUUCAAUACCUACCACUGAUGUACUACUAGAGCAUCAGCAAGGUGUUUGAAAAGACCCAACUCA
Long non-coding RNA from Oncorhynchus keta (chum salmon), 1203 nucleotides. RefSeq lists it as uncharacterized. The transcript is spliced from 3 exons. The record is from RefSeq and is a predicted model, not a curated record. Lineage: Eukaryota; Metazoa; Chordata; Actinopteri; Salmoniformes; Salmonidae.